CAAUUUUGUAUGUUCUUCCUGGUAAAAAUUCGAGACAACAUUUGGAACUGUACUAUUAGUAUUAGUUAGCUGAUAGAUUUUCUGGUUUGAGCUAUUGUGCUUUUGGCCUUGUUCUGUGUACCCUUAUAUGUAACAUAAAUCGAAUGAAAAAAGAAUCGAAGACUAUGGAAAUGGUUAUGAAUUUCAUUUUAGGGAUGAUCUCUUUUUUUUUCUUCUUUUAAAGGGUUUGUGGAAUCGUAGCUUUUUGAGCUCAAGUAUUCUAUCAUAAAUUAUAACAGGCAGAGACGAUUUGAAAAUCCUAUGGGACCAUUCUUCUCUGGCAUUCAUCCUAGGUGGUUCCAUGGCUUUGCAAAUAAAUACUGGGAAAGCAUUUUGAGUUUCACCUUUAAAAUGAAGCUAUUAAUUGAGGGGCUCUGGACCCAUGUAUGUUUUCUGGUUCAAUGCUUCCUCUUCAAAGCUUGAGAAGUGCAUGGGCUUUCUCCAGAGAUGAUGGUGAAGCAAGAGUGGUAUGGUGGGUGUCAAUGGCUAGGAAAGUCAUCUUUCCCUCUUGUUGCACCGCACUUAAAGGUAGUGGAGAGGGAAGAAUAUUUUGAUGCCUUGGGUGGACAUGAGUGAGGGAGGAACGGAAAUUGGGGACAUCCCUUGCCUUCAUUCGAUCACAAUUUUGAAAGGAGGAUAAACUAUGUGAAUUUUUACCUAGAAGCACCUCAACAC
This 714-nucleotide long non-coding RNA is filed under the name Gossypium raimondii (Peruvian cotton). RNAcentral's name for it is "long non-coding RNA (GRAI_LNC009761)". Lineage: Eukaryota; Viridiplantae; Streptophyta; Magnoliopsida; Malvales; Malvaceae. The record is from RNAcentral.